This 498-nucleotide ribosomal RNA is filed under the name uncultured bacterium. RNAcentral's name for it is "bacterial SSU rRNA". It matches the Rfam family "Bacterial small subunit ribosomal RNA", at positions 28 to 526 of the family's 1533-position model. The record is from RNAcentral.
GACGAACGCUAGCGGCAGGCCUAAUACAUGCAAGUCGAACGGUAAGGCUCCUUCGGGAGUACACGAGUGGCGCACGGGUGCGUAACACGUAUGCAACCUACCUUUCAGCGGGGGAUAGUCGCGGGAAACUGCGAAUAAUACCCCAUAUGCUCACGAGAUGGCAUCUUUUUGUGAGGAAAGCUCCGGCGCUGAGAGAUGGGCAUGCGCCCCAUUAGUUAGUUGGUGAGGUAACGGCUCACCAAGACUCCGAUGGGUAACUGGUCUGAGAGGAUGAUCAGUCACACGGGCACUGAGACACGGGCCCGACUCCUACGGGAGGCAGCAGUAAGGAAUAUUGGACAAUGGGCGCAAGCCUGAUCCAGCCAUGCCGCGUGGUGGAUGACGGCCCUCUGGGUUGUAAACACCUUUUAUGUGGGGAUAAUGUGGUUCUAUACGAAUCAUUGCAGGUACCACAUGAAUAAGCACCGGCUAACUACGUGCCAGCCGCCGCCGUAAGAC